UAAGCGGAGGAAAAGAAACUAACAAGGAUUCCCCUAGUAGCGGCGAGCGAAGCGGGAAAAGCUCAAAUUUGUAAUCUGGCGUCUACGACGUCCGAGUUGUAAUCUCGAGAAGUGUUUUCCGUGAUAGACCGCAUACAAGUCUCUUGGAACAGAGCGUCAUAGUGGUGAGAACCCAGUACACGAUGCGGAUGCCUAUUACUUUGUGAUACACUUUCGAAGAGUCGAGUUGUUUGGGAAUGCAGCUCAAAUUGGGUGGUAAAUUCCAUCUAAAGCUAAAUAUUGGCGAGAGACCGAUAGCGAACAAGUACCGUGAGGGAAAGAUGAAAAGCACUUUGGAAAGAGAGUUAACAGUACGUGAAAUUGUUGGAAGGGAAACACAUGCAGCCAGACUUGCUAUUCGGGGCAACUCGAUUGGCAGGCCCGCAUCAGUUUUUCGGGGCGGAAAAGCAUAGAGAGAAGGUAGCAAUUUCGGUUGUGUUAUAGCUCUUUAUUGGAUUCGCCCUGGGGGACUGAGGAACGCAGCGUGCUUUUAGCAUAAGCUUCGGCUUAUCCACGCUUAGGAUGCGGGUGUAAUGGCUGUAUAUGACCCGUCUUGAAACACG
RNAcentral lists this ribosomal RNA (602 nucleotides) under Sporobolomyces roseus. RNAcentral describes it as "eukaryotic LSU rRNA". It matches the Rfam family "Eukaryotic large subunit ribosomal RNA", at positions 47 to 663 of the family's 3401-position model. Lineage: Eukaryota; Fungi; Basidiomycota; Microbotryomycetes; Sporidiobolales; Sporidiobolaceae. The record is from RNAcentral.